Long non-coding RNA from Argiope bruennichi, 3449 nucleotides. RefSeq lists it as uncharacterized. The record is from RefSeq and is a predicted model, not a curated record. NCBI's taxonomy places the organism in Eukaryota, Metazoa, Arthropoda, Arachnida, Araneae, Araneidae. The transcript is spliced from 4 exons.
UUCGAAGUCUAUUUGUUUGAUAUGUUUGCUGGAAGUGUUUCGUUUCAUAAAUGUUAUUACUACGUGAAGCAGUAUGUUAUGUUAUGUCCUUUCGCUUGAUAUCGUUAAUGCUCACCACUUGCAGAAUCUUCGAAUAAAUGGUUCAAUGCUACUGCUCUCUAUAUAGAUUUGAAAGUGGCGCCUGAGCACUGUCAUUCUACAAAAUCCUAAUUGAACAUAAUUUUUGAAACCCAAUUAUGGAUAGAAACUGGAAGCGCCGCAUCACCCUUCGUUUUUCUACCAAAAGAAUUUCCUUCAAAGGUUAUUUCCGACUGAUUUUUAGCAAUCAUUGCGAAAAAGGGAUCUGCAGAUGAGAAUGGCAACUUCAUCCUUAAAACUUUCAAAUUUCUCGCAAUUGGUGUUGUCAGAUUCAAAUGGGAUCCUGAUAAAUUCUGUGAUGUGCAUGAAGACCUGGAGCUUGAUGGAAUCUCUAAAUCCUGUAUCUUACCAGUUUAUGAACCUUCAGAAAUUUUCAAUUAGUCAAUCGGCUGGUAAAAUUGCAAUGGUUCCAUUUUAUGCUUGGAUUAUUCUGGAAAUGACUACGGCACGGUUUUCUGUUCACUUCAUGCUACUUAAGAAAUGUAUUAAUCGGUUUUAUGUAUUAGUAUUAGCCAUAUCUCUAUCGUAAAUUAACUUUAAUUACAGCAUUAAAUGGCCCUGUACAAUUAAUUAUACAGUGGAACUUCAAUGAAUCUAAUAGCAAGUCUUCACAUUUAUAAUUUUUAUUGAUUAAAAAAUAAAUUCGAAACGUAUUUUAUCAAAUUUUCUUAAUCUUCAAUUUCGAAUGGAAUGGACAAAAUUGUGAGCUUCCCACUCCCUAAACGGUUUGAAGGUUAGUUCCGAUAUCAUAAGUAUUAGAUUCCGGAUCAAAUUUGGUGUCGAAAGAAACAAAUUGAGGCCCUUUCUAUAUUAAGUCCAAAUAGGUCGUCCUCUGAAUAUCCGUUUAUUAAACAUAUAAUUAAAUGUUCAUAAUGUCCAUAAUUCUAAUGUUAAUUCUGAAGUCCCCGUUAUUUUAUACUAUCUGGUUGGUUCAAUUUUGUUCUCGGUUUUCUCACUCGCCUGGUGUGCUGUAUUUCUUAAUCUAAAAAUAUCUUGAAAGAAUUCUGGGUAAUUAUCGUGUUAGAUUAGAAUGUUGCCUUCAUAAAUUUCUAUUUCAAAAAUUCAUUUUUUCUAUUCCUUCAUAUCUGAUAACACUCAAGCAAAUUCUGUCUUCUGAAAUAUGUUUGCUUCUUAAUCACUCGCUUAUUUCUUCUAGCCAUGUUUGAAAUAACAAGUUUAACUGAAAUUUUAAAUUGUUCCGACAAUAUUCACUUGUUAAUUUUCUUUUUUGCAGUUUCAUAGUAUUAAAAACUAGAUAACGGUAUUAAAAAAUAAGUGUUCAUGCAAUCGUGUUACGAAUUUUAGUCGGUUUCUAAGUUUUAACAAGUUUCUCCUCAAAGUGUAAAGCGCCUAUCAAAUUAAAAGCAGGGAUAAGCACCCGAGGAAAUGCAAAUAAAAACACAAAUAUCGCGCUGACCUAAGUCGCACGGACAAACGAGUCUCCCUGAAGUAACCCAUGAUGGGGCAGUAGAAUAGAACAGACUACAAUUGAUUUCUAUCGCACCUAUGUAAGGAAAUUGGCACAGAACUAUUUAAUGUUGGUCCGGCUUUAAAUUUAAAUCUCAAAUAUCUGGGUAAUUUGCAUUGGAUCGUGAACAUUUAAAUAUUGGCAGUUAUCCCUCGGCUCAGUCACUCAACACAAAACAUCUCGUAAUUCGGAAGUUUGGAAUUGCCGUAAUUUGAAAAUAUAGCAAUUUUAAGUUUGCGGAGAGUGCAAAAUAUUAGACGGCAAUAGCAAUUAUUUUAAUCGAAUUAGUUUAAUUUUUGGUUUAGUUACAAAUGCCGAUGUUAAAAGUACAAAUUGCACCUGAAAGUUUCAUUAAGGUUGGCUAACUCGAUGAAGUAAGAUUUGGGGGUACGAGUAGGUCAGAAAGGAAGUUAACACGUUAAAUAUCCUGUCCCUGUGUACUUUCUGUCUAGGCUGUUUGGGACCGGCGGUCUAAACGGAAAGUAUCGGUCCCCAGGGAACCGGUAUUUAAUGUGUUAACGACAAUUUGGGUUAGUAAAGUUAAAAAUCGAGUGCAGCGGUUGAUUACAAAAUUUAGUUAAUUUAGUUAGUGGGAUUGCAAUCGUCUUAAAUGGGGAGAAAGGAUUUGAGCCUGCCAAGUGCAGUUAAUACUUUAAAUAUUGGCAUACGGACAUCAGAAUUUAAAGUACUUGUAGGUUGAUAAUUCUAUUCCAACUUUCCGAAGUACGACUGUAAAAAUUCUUAGUAUUAUUUAUAGGGAAAUGUCGAGUCCUAACUUUUCUAUGGUACAUAUAAAUUUAUAAAUUGGAGAGUUUAAAAUAUCUUUACAAUUGCGUUUUGCACGGAUUUUUAUUUAAAUUUCGGGUUUAAAAUCUCAGGCGAAUAGUAUUGUAAACAUGGAAACAUCGCUUCUCGGCUCAAAUCAAAUUUUGAUAACUACCGAAAAUGAUAUGUUUAUUGACAAUCAUUCAAUAUAAUUCAAUAAGAAUUAAUCAUAAUAUAAAUAGUGAAUUUAAUGCUUUCAGAAUGUAAAUCCUUCACUUUAGAUCAAUGCAUUCUUAUUAAAUUCUCUAACGGAGAUUCGAGAAAACACCCAGAUUCCCUUCCCAAUUUUUGUAUUUUCCUUUUUCUGAUAACAUAGCUCUCUUAGCGAAUAAUUCAACUAAAUCUAGUAUCUGUUGAAUCUGGCAGGUCUCGAAUUUAAUUCAGAUGUUGGCAUUAAGUUAUUUGCAAGAAACUUAUAGCAACACUCAUCUACGCCAUCUUGUUAAAAUUGAUAUUGUGGUAUUUUUCAAAGGAUUUCUCUAAAUUAAAACUCCUAUAAAAACAAAGCAUUUAAUUACAUAGGCGCCUUCUUCUACAUACUUUAGUCUUGUAUUCCAAUAACUUUCAAAGUUUAAUCCAAUCCUGAAUAUUUAAGUGUCAGCUGCGAAAAAACCCUCCAUACUUGGAUGGAGCACAAUUUAAUGAAUAGAAUAAAUGCAGGUUUAAAUUUAGCAUGAUUUCUCAAAUAAAACCCCUUUAAUGCAACCGGUUAUAUUUGUUUUAUUUUAAACUAGAACCACUUCAAAAUUUUAAAUACUUGCAAUCGUCCAUUCCAUUCAAUCCUAACAUUUUUAAUAAACGUCUAAUUCAUUUGUAAUACUUCAAUAACUGUUUGAUAAAAAAAUUAGUCAUUAAUUUUCCCAAUAUGCAAAUUGAAUUAAAUGCGUUCUUUUUUGGAAUAAAUCACCUCAAUUUGCUUUGAGUAAUUGUAUAUCGAUAUCUUGCAUGUCGAUAUUGACAACUUUUCCUUAAGUCUGCAAUUAAAUCAUCUUGGAAAAUUCAGCUUUCACUGAAGUUC